This 435-nucleotide ribosomal RNA is filed under the name uncultured bacterium. Its description in RNAcentral is "partial 16S ribosomal RNA". It matches the Rfam family "Bacterial small subunit ribosomal RNA", at positions 29 to 507 of the family's 1533-position model. The record is from RNAcentral.
AGCGAACGCUGGCGGCAGGCUUAACACAUGCAAGUCGAGCGGGCACUUUCGGGUGUCAGCGGCGGACGGGUGAGUAACGCGUGGGAACGUGCCCUCUGGUUCGGAAUAACUCAGGGAAACUUGAGCUAAUACCGGAUACGCCCUUUUGGGGAAAGGCUUGCCGCCGUAGGAUCGGCUCGCGUCUGAUUGGCUAGUUGGUGAGGUAACGGCUCACCAAGGCGACGAUCAGUAGCUGGUCUGAGAGGAUGAUCAGCCACACUGGGACUGAGACACGGCCCAGACUCCUACGGGAGGCAGCAGUGGGGAAUAUUGGACAAUGGGCGCAAGCCUGAUCCAGCCAUGCCGCGUGAGUGAUGAAGGCCUUAGGGUUGUAAAGCUCUUUUAUCCGGGACGAUAAUGACGGUACCGGAGGAAUAAGCCCCGGCUAACUUCGUG